Non-coding RNA from Rattus norvegicus (Norway rat), 593 nucleotides. The record is from RefSeq and is a predicted model, not a curated record. Lineage: Eukaryota; Metazoa; Chordata; Mammalia; Rodentia; Muridae.
GCUCACAUGCAUGGAUCUCAAACUGGUUAGGCUUUCCUGUGACGACGCAUCCGUGAAACAGCCAGCAGCCCACACUGCCCCUGCUGAGAAGCCACAAGCUGAUGUCACAAGAUCCUGCGCUGGCGGCUUCAGCGCCAGAAAAAUGAUGUGGAAUCUUCCCAGUGAAGACGACAUGGAUUCAGCGACAAAGAAAAGAAAGCUAGGAAGAUUCUAGCCUUUCUUCUAUAGACUUAAGUGUUUGUGACUCACUUAACGCUCACAACUGUUUUUUCUUCAUCUGGUGCUGAGGAUUAAACCCAAGCCCUUUCACACAUGGGUUUCUCCACGUAGCCCAGGCUGUCCUGGAACUUGCUCUGUAGACCAGAUUGGCCCAAAGACCCGCCUGCUUCUGCUGGGAUUAAGGUAUGUGCCACCCUGCUUUCCAGACUACUUUAAGAUGCAUGAGAACAGCUGGACUCCACACGUGUGCCGGGCUCAGAGCAGGCACGAUGGUCUGUUGGAGUAACUGAAAUGCUGCCUCUGACAGCCCAGUGACAGCAGCCACCUGAAGAUUUGUUUGGGAAACUAAUUUUUUUUCCUAUUUUCUUUUCAUU